GGGGAGCAAUCCCUGAGUAAAGUGGCGACCGGGUGAGUAACACGUGACUAACCUGCCUUCGAGUGGGGGAUAACCUCGGGAAACCGGGGCUAAUACCGCAUAAUGCCUUUGGGUUAAAGGAGCAAUUCGCUUGAAGAGGGGGUCGCGGCUGAUUAGCUAGUUGGCGGGGUAACGGCCCACCAAGGCGAUGAUCGGUAGCCGGCCUGAGAGGGCGCACGGCCACACUGGAACUGAAACACGGUCCAGACUCCUACGGGAGGCAGCAGUGGGGAAUUUUGCGCAAUGGGGGGAACCCUGACGCAGCAACGCCGCGUGGAGGAUGAAGUCCCUUGGGACGUAAACUCCUUUCGACCGGGACGAUAAUGACGGUACCGGUGGAAGAAGCCCCGGCUAACUUCGUGCCAGCAGCCGCGGUAAUACGAGGGGGGCGAGCGUUGUUCGGAAUUAUUGGGCGUAAAGGGCGCGUAGGCGGUGCGGUAAGUCACCUGUGAAACCUCUGGGCUUAACUCAGAGCCUGCAGGCGAAACUGCCGUGCUGGAGUGUGGGAGAG
Molecule: ribosomal RNA, 550 nt
Filed under: uncultured bacterium
Lineage: Bacteria
Description: bacterial SSU rRNA
Rfam family: Bacterial small subunit ribosomal RNA
Source: RNAcentral